GUGGGGAAUUUUGGACAAUGGGCGCAAGCCUGAUCCAGCCAUGCCGCGUGCAGGAUGAAGGCCUUCGGGUUGUAAACUGCUUUUGUACGGAACGAAAAGACUCUUUCUAAUAAAGAGGGUCCAUGACGGUACCGUAAGAAUAAGCACCGGCUAACUACGUGCCAGCAGCCGCGGUAAUACGUAGGGUGCGAGCGUUAAUCGGAAUUACUGGGCGUAAAGCGUGCGCAGGCGGUGAUGUAAGACAGAUGUGAAAUCCCCGGGCUCAACCUGGGAACUGCAUUUGUGACUGCAUCGCUGGAGUGUGGCAGAGGGGGAUGGAAUUCCGCGUGUAGCAGUGAAAUGCGUAGAUAUGCGGAGGAACACCGAUGGCGAAGGCAAUCCCCUGGGCCUGCACUGACGCUCAUGCACGAAAGCGUGGGGAGCAAACAGGAUUAGAUACCCGUGUAGUCC
Molecule: ribosomal RNA, 450 nt
Filed under: uncultured bacterium
Lineage: Bacteria
Description: partial 16S ribosomal RNA
Rfam family: Bacterial small subunit ribosomal RNA
Source: RNAcentral